This is an RNA transcript of Erinaceus europaeus (western European hedgehog), 5436 nucleotides long. It is a transcript of the gene named septin 6, with no coding region annotated. The record is from RefSeq and is a predicted model, not a curated record. The transcript is spliced from 13 exons. Lineage: Eukaryota; Metazoa; Chordata; Mammalia; Eulipotyphla; Erinaceidae.
UCGGGAUGUACCACGCAGCCCAGUGGCGGGGGGGACGCCAAGGACGUGGUCACUGCGGGGAGCCCCCGCCCCCCUCCGUAUUGGCCUCGGGUGGAGGUUGCGGGUGGCGCAGCAGGAAUGGGGCUCGCGGUCUGGGGGGCGCGGCGUGUCCACCCCGCCCCCUCCCCAUCCCCGACUUCCGAGGGGGUGGGCCAGAGAAGGGAGCUCGGGGUUGGUGCCGGCGGCUAGGGGGCCCCUCCCUUGCACCUCCCCUCUACCCCCCCCCCCCACUGGACUUGGUCGCGCCCGAAGUGUAACACUUUCUCUUUGUCGGAGGCGCGCUGCCGGUUCCUGUGCUUCAGCUCCAGUUGCGGCGGCGCCCGUGGCAGCCCUGGCGGACGCAGGAGCGAUGGCAGCGACCGAUAUAGCUCGCCAGGUGCUCCCCAUUAAGCAAGACCAGAUGGAGACCCAGUCGGGCUCCCCAGACAACCCGUGGGCGUUCAUCCAGAGGCUUGGUGAAGGUUGCCGAACUGUCCCCCUGGCUGGACAUGUGGGUUUCGACAGCUUGCCCGACCAGCUGGUGAAUAAGUCUGUCAGCCAGGGCUUCUGCUUCAACAUCCUGUGCGUGGGAGAGACAGGUCUGGGCAAGUCCACCCUCAUGGACACCCUGUUCAACACCAAGUUUGAGGGUGAGCCCGCCAACCACACCCAGCCGGGUGUCCAGCUCCGAUCCAACACGUAUGACCUCCAAGAGAGCAACGUGGGACUGAAGUUGACCAUUGUCAGUACAGUGGGUUUUGGGGACCAGAUCAACAAGGAGGACAGCUACAAGCCCAUCGUGGAGUUCAUCGACGCGCAGUUCGAGGCCUACCUGCAGGAGGAGCUGAAAAUCCGCCGGGUCCUGCACUCCUACCACGACUCCCGCAUGCAUGCCUGCCUCUACUUCAUCGCCCCCACCGGCCACUCGCUAAAGUCUCUGGACCUGGUGACCAUGAAGAAACUUGACAGCAAGGUGAACAUCAUCCCCAUCAUCGCCAAAUCUGACGCCAUCUCCAAGAGCGAGCUGACAAAGUUCAAAAUCAAAAUCACCAGCGAGCUGGUCAGCAACGGGGUCCAGAUCUAUCAGUUCCCCACAGACGACGAGUCCGUGGCAGAGAUUAACGGGACCAUGAAUGCCCACCUGCCCUUCGCUGUGAUUGGCAGCACUGAGGAGCUCAAGAUUGGCAACAAGAUGAUGAAGGCGCGCCAGUACCCUUGGGGCACAGUGCAGGUCGAGAACGAGGCCCACUGCGACUUCGUGAAGCUGCGCGAGAUGCUGAUCCGUGUCAACAUGGAGGACCUCCGCGAACAGACCCACAGCCGCCACUAUGAGCUGUACCGCCGCUGCAAGCUGGAGGAGAUGGGUUUCCAGGACACCGACCCAGACAGCAAACCCUUCAGUUUACAGGAGACGUACGAGGCCAAGAGGAAUGAGUUCUUAGGAGAGCUCCAGAAGAAAGAAGAGGAGAUGAGACAGAUGUUCGUCCAGAGAGUCAAAGAGAAAGAAGCUGAACUCAAAGAGGCUGAGAAAGAGCUGCAUGAGAAGUUUGACCGCCUAAAGAAGCUCCACCAGGAUGAGAAGAAGAAGCUAGAAGAUAAGAAGAAAUCCCUGGACGAUGAGGUCAGCGCCUUCAAGCAGAGGAAGACAGCGGCCGAGCUGCUGCAGUCCCAGGGCUCCCAAGCUGGAGGCUCGCAGACGCUCAAGAGGGACAAAGAGAAGAAGAAUUAACUCUGCUGUUUGCUGCAUGCUGCAUGAGGCCCGGGGUCCUGUAACCCAUGGCUGUGUACUGAAUAGUAUUCCCCGCUACAGCACCACCGGACGCCAUUUAGCCCUUUAAGCCGAGGUUCCUCUUUUAACUGACAGCUUCCCUUUGGAGUGCCAGGCAACGCCCCCCCCACUCCCACCCUACCCCACCCCUGCCGUGUACUUCCACCCUUUUUGAGUUCUGCCUCUCAAUCCCACUCACCCUGACCAUCACCACCACUACCUUUUGCUGCUUCUUCCUCUUUUCCUUUUUCUCCUGCUCCUUCUCCUCUUUCUCCUUUUCCUUCUUCUCCUUCCUCUUCCUCACCCUCAUCCUCCUUCCUCCUCAUCCCCUUCUUUUUGAGGUAGUUUUUGUCUCUCGAUGACUUUAUUGCAGAACACACAUUGAAUUAGGCGAUGCCAAAGAUUUGGAGGCCCUCCCAUUCUUUUAAUGUUAGAUGAGGGGAGGGGGCUUUCCUUUCUCUUUCAUACUAGAUAAUAAAUGGGGUGGGCGGGGAGAGUGAGAGACGCAGAGCCUGGCACCCACUUUUUCUGGUGUGCAGCUUGAGGCUGUUUCAUGAGUGAGCAGCUGAGAUCAGGAUGAGAAUGAAGGUGAAAAGGUCACAAUGGGAGGGGCUGAGCUAAUUUGCCAGAGACAACCGCAGGCGAGAAGGAGGGACCCCUAUGCUUUAAGGCUCAAGAAGAAGAAUAAGGAAAAAAGAAAAAAAAAAGACCCCCAGAAUCCUCAGCACAGAAGGCCUCCACGUUAGAGCAGUGAAGCCUUGAUGUUUUGAAACUUCUACUUACAUUUUCAAAGCUGCUACCCAGGAACUCCAAACUCACACACCUCCAUGGGGUCUCUACUCACCCCCACCCCACCCCCCAGGUCAGUCUUUGCAUUAGAAAUAGGUGACCCCUCGCCUCUGCAUUUAGUUACAGAAUGAAUUGCUGGUGACUCCCAAGACAGAGAGGACCUACCCUUAUCCUAAGAGGAAAGCCUAAGGACUUGCUGGCCUGUGUGUGUGUGUGUGUGUGCGCGGGGGGGGGGGGGGGGGGGGGCGCGGACCCUCAGGUUUAAUUCUCAUAUAUUUUUUCUUUUUUCUCAUUUGAUAGGACAGAGAGAAAUUGAGAGGGUGGGGAGAGAGAAAAAGAGACACCUGCAAACCUGUUUCACCACUUGUGAAGCUUCUUCUCUGCAGGUGAAGACCAGGGGCUUGAACCCAGGUCUUUGCUCAUGGUGGCUUAUGCAUUCAACCUAUGCCACUGCCCGGCCCCAUCUCAGGCUUAAUUCAAUGUCUCCUCACUCCCGAUCCAUAUUGCAAAUGGACUGUGUGUGUGUGUGUGUGUGUGUGUGUACCUGGCCUUUUGAUGUGCAGAGAAACCCAUUAGUUAACAGGAAUAGGCUUUGGGGUAGCCCCCUCCCACCAUGGAAGGUUAGCUGAGGAUGGGGUGGGCAAAGCAGAGAAUUUCAAGCCAGUCUUCCAGCCAGGAGUCAGCAGACACAUCCUAGUGGGUAAGCUCCCCUGGAAGAGUGAAACAGGGUGUAGCAGGUGUGCAAAAGUUUGGACACGUGAAAAAGAGGGGGGGGAGAGAGAGACAGACAGACCAAAGCUUCCUCUAGUGCACUGGGAGCUGGGCUUGAGCUGGGGUCUUACACAGGAUAAAGCAUUGCACUAUCCAAACGAGCUAUUGCCAGGGCCCUCAAAUAAACCUUAAAUCAACUUAGUUUUGGUACAGAAACAUCAAGUCUGUGAGUGAACAUAAGACCUUUACAAAGUUAGCCAAGGCCAUGGGAAGGAUUUUUUGCAGAACCAUUAUUAUGCUAUCUCCUGAUGCCUAGGAUAUAUACAUAUUUACUUUAAAAAAAAAAAAACAGAGCACUGCUCAGCUCUGGCUUCUGGUGGUGCUGGGAAUUGAACCAGGGACCUCAGAAGCCCAGGCAAGAAAAUCUGCAGAACUAUGAUGCUAUCUCUGACCCCCUAACCCCACCUCUGCUGCCAUUGAAGGAUUUUGAUGUUUAUUUCUGCUGAGUAGCUUUUCUCACCGUAGGCAGAAAGGCUCUCCUGUCUUCUGUGAGAAGGCUUUUGAAAUAUAAUAAUUGUCAUUUUUUAAUACCUAAAGUAUUCUAACAGAGUGAAAUUGAAACAAAGCCAGCCAUCAGGAAUGGUCUGUGCUUUCAUUCUUCCCCAGAUAGGAGUGGACUGGCUUUUCUAAAAAAUCUCUGCCGUGUGUGUGUGUGUGUGUGUGUGUGUGUGUGUGUGUGUGUGUACACACACACAUACACACACACCCAACACUUUCUCUUAAGCCAAGAAGUCUGCUUUCCACCCUGCUUUGCAGCCCCCUUUUUGUCUUCUGCUGUGACCAUUUGCACUCCCAAGAGGCAAAACCAGUGUGUGGUAUCCUUCAGCCUUCAGCAGAUUCCCUCCACCAGUGGGGGGGUCUACCAGUGACCCUGCUUCUAACCGGAUGGCUCUGUGCUGUGUCCCCUCACCCCAUCUGACCUCGGGAGGGGGGUCCCUCUUCCUCUGGCUAACUCUGUGUUUUCUCUCUCUUUCUCUCUCCCUCUCCAGCUUUUUUUAAAAUCUUGUCUCCGGCAGCCGCAUUCAGUCUCACGGAGAAGACUGUGUCAUUCUAGAAGAGUUAGGGCCACCCCUGUUGUCUUCAACCAGACACCCACCCACACCCUCACCCCCACCCCCCAAGUGUGUGCAAGUGUGCGUGCACACACACAGACACACACACACACACACACCAUGCUCCACAUGUGUCCCUGUGUCCAGGCAAGAAUCUUUCUUCCUGACUUCCAUGGUCUUUGCGAUUGGAAGUGUCUUGUGCAGGGAAAGAAGUGUCCAAGUUGGAGGAUGGACCCAAUUGUCACCUCCGAGAGACAACUCAUUGCUGGAUGACUCACCCUGAGUGUAAGUCGCUGGGGCCCGAAGACCCCAGCGGUGGGGUUAGAAGUGCUGGCCACAGGUUUGGGUGGUGGAGCCCUUUUUAUUUAUUUAUUUUUUUUUAACGAUUCUCUGACUUCAAUGGGUUGACUGUCUCCGGCCACUAUUAGACCUCUCUGAACGGGACGAGCAAGCCCGGUGACAUCUCGAACUUUCUUCAGCAGCUACAGGCCUAAUGCCAAUUUCUAGGCAGGGCGGAGUUGGAUUCACUAGUCUGAUACUCAGGUGGAGCAGGAAGAGAUGGUGGAGGCAGGGAGAUUGAAGCUUAGUGAGAACCUCUCAGACCCAAUUUGGGGUUUGCAGAGAGGCUUCUGCUCAACCUGUGGAGCCAGAAGGAGAGCUUUGGGUUGAAUUCUUGGUUGGACUUUUGUCAGAAUGCCCUGUGAGUGUGUCCCAUGCUGUCAUCACCAAUCCACUGUCUCUGGAGUGAGCUUCUUUGCAUGUUUUCCAGAAUCUGUCUUUUUUUUUCUUCUCCUCUGUUCUUUUUUCUUUUUCUUCUGUUCCUCCUCUUCCUCCUCCCCCUCUUCCUCUUCCUUUUUCCUCUUCUUCUCAUUCUCCUCCUGCUCCUCCUACUCCUCCUCCUUCUUUCUCAAAGGUGUGACCCAUCAUUUUCCUGUGGGGUUUCCAUUCACUGGGAGAGACAGCCCGAAACCAGCACUGUUGGCUUGAAACCUUUCUAAUGUCCAUGUUAGUUUUCAAUAAAACUCCAAGAAAUGCUCA